CACGUAAGGGGCGAGCGUUGUUCGGAAUUAUUGGGCGUAAAGGGUACGCAGGCGGUUUUGCAAGUCUGAUGUGAAAGACCUGGGCUUAACUCAGGGACCGCGUUGGAAACUGCAAGACUAGAAUCUUGGAGGGGGAGUUGGAAUUCCUAGUGUAGGGGUGAAAUCUGUUGAUAUUAGGAAGAACACCGGUGGCGAAGGCGAACUCCUGGCUAUAGAUUGACGCUGAGGUACGAAAGCAUAGGGAGCAAACAGG
RNAcentral lists this ribosomal RNA (253 nucleotides) under uncultured bacterium. RNAcentral's name for it is "partial 16S ribosomal RNA". It matches the Rfam family "Bacterial small subunit ribosomal RNA", at positions 524 to 776 of the family's 1533-position model. The record is from RNAcentral.